GGGGCUCUGGAGGAAGGUGACCGUAGAUCCAGAUGUACAAUCUCCAGCAGGGACACAGCCAUCCUGAAAGCCCCCGGGUAUUCCCUCAUUCUCCCUCAGAGCAGUGGGAAGAGCACUGGAAAGGCAGCGAAACCCAGGGCGCCGAGUUCAGGAAUGUUUGUACUGGUCCCUUGCUUUCAUCCCUGUCACUAUCGGACUCAUUUCCAGUGCCCAGGUAUCCAUUCACACCAUGUAAACUGCUGUUUCAAGUUCUCUCAUUCAGGUACCCCCAUUUUUACCGUCAAUGGCUUUUUCCCCGUAAAGAAGCUAAGUUUGGCUUGACAUCUCUACAGGGCUCCUCUUCAUAGGCAACCAGGAGCUGAGAAGACCUCAUUCAUGCUGAGAUAGUCCUGUCUUCAAGAGAAAGAGGAAAGAAUAAAUAGAAUUGUAUGCAAUUCUGAGGAAAAUAGGGAGAAGAGAUCUUGCUGACCCACCCCUUCUCUUUCUUUCUGACCUGAAUGUGGAUAUGUGGUUUGCUUCUGUGGCUGCAAUCAGGUGACAUGAGGCACCAACCAUUGGACCAAGAAGACAACAGCCAAAGACAGAAGAGCAGAAAAAUAAAAGGAAAAGGCCUGUGUUUUGAUAACAUCAAUGAGCAGCAGUACCAGUGCCAAUAGUCACCUGUCUCCAGCCUUCUUGUGAAUGAGAUACUACAGGUCUGUAUUGCUUGAGCCAUUUCUAACUCCAGAAUAUAUUUAGAGUUUCAUACUGAAGUUGAACCACACAUCUUUCUUUGAACUUCCUAACAGGCAAAACAACUGCAUAAAAGAGAUACUCAAUUAGUUAUUAUUUGUCAUUGUCUUUGAGGAGAAAAUUGAUAGUUCUUCAAGAGAGGCACUGUUUCUUGUGAAACUUAGUUCUUUAAGAAAUGUCUUGGGUGGGGCAUCAUAGAGAGACACUGAGUUAUGGUGGAAACUGUAUUUAAAUCAUAUCCCCAAAUUAAAUGCAAAAUUAGUUUUCAUAUGGUUGUUUCUUGUAGGACCUUUUAAUGUAAACUGCAGAUAUAAUACCAAACCCUAACACAGUGAAAACAAUUAUGUAAGAGACUAUUU
Molecule: long non-coding RNA, 1091 nt
Filed under: Homo sapiens (human)
Lineage: Eukaryota; Metazoa; Chordata; Mammalia; Primates; Hominidae
Description: HSALNT0163434
Source: RNAcentral